AAAUUUCAUUUUCAUGUUUUUCUUCUUAGUCGUUCACUCUACAUCGGGUAUAUCGGUAUAUGUGUGGAACGUGAAUAUGCACAUGGUUGUGCUAUCCAUACUCUUGGGGCGUAAAUGUGCGAUGUAGUUGAAAGGUAAAGAAAUAUAAUACUCGAGUAGCAUACUGUAGCCUGCUAUACUGCGACCCAUGUGUCCGGUAAAUAAAGAAAGGCAAAGAUUUCGUCCUAUACUUUCUUCCUACUGUCGUUUCCUCCCUCAUCUCCCAAAAAUGGGCAUCUUCAGCCAUGCCAAAGAUUGAUCCAAGAAUCUGCCAGGGUGCGACGCCGAGUCGACGCUAGUUCCAAUCCCAUGGGUGGCGCCGACUGCUCUCCCUCUCUCCACUCGCCGUUCCCCCAAACCGAAACCCUUGAUCCAACCACUGUUCAUACAUGGUGUUCCCAGUCCUUCAAUUUCCCAGCGAUAAAUCUGACAAAGCAACCACUAUGGGAUACAUCAGGUGUGGUUAAAUCAUUUGAUUUUGUGUACGUAUUAUCUUAAGAAUUGGAAACUUGCUGUGAGGGAUGCCUUAUUUCCUUUUUGGUUUUGUGUAGAUGUGCAGUGAGGUGAUGUAGGUGUUGUGUAGAGAUGGGUGGCAGAAUAGUCGUCAAGUAGACUUGAGCUGAAUCGGUUUGUGAAUUUGUAGGAUCAAACCUGUAAUAGAGCAGACCACAUUCAUCGCCAUUUAUGCAUAUAACGUGGGAAUCAGAAGAAGAUCCAACCGCUCCAUGAUUAAUGACACCACACAGAUUGCCAUAGACAGAAUUCAUCUUGGCAUGUUACCAAAAUGAUAAUCAAAUCUAGCCCUUGCUUGGUCGGUUGUACAUUCAGUUAUAUUGUGGUCAUGUCAGAGCUAUGAGACAGAUUAGGGCAUGAGUAGUGAGAUCCAAACUGCGGAUACUUAGUAAACCACUGAAGGUACACAUUCAUUUUUCAUCUAGUUCUUUUUUUAAUACUGAUUAUGCAAUGCACAUAACACAAAUUGUUUUAGUCAUCAACCCGUGCAGUAGCACGGGCUAGGAGUUCACAUAAUAAACAGAAAAAGUGGAAAGUGAAAUAAGGUAUUAUUAAAUUUUGGAAAAUGAUCACUUAGAAACACGUAAUAUUAUUUAUUAAUCAUAGUUGUGUGAAGAUGCAUUCUUAAUUUGGGACUCCUAUGUUAAUGUGUUACUAUUAGAUAUUUUCAUAAUUAUAUCACACAAAAAUAUUUAUCCAUUGUCGAAGGGAGUGUUGCUUUUCAAUAUGUAUUCCACUAACGAUCGUCUCAGAACAAUAUUAGAAAUUCAUUGCUUUCUUACAAUAUAUAUUAGGUUUAGUUAGGUUGAAAUUAGAGUAUAUGCAUAACGCCUCAAAAUAUGUUUUAUAUUUAGUUAGGUUGAAAUUACUAUAUUGCAAUCAUCCAUCAGAAUUGCACAAUACGUCGGAAAGAAGUUAUUAAAAUAAUUAUAGGCAAUUCAAAACCUGUACGGAGGAUAUUGAAGGAAAAUAUGAGCAAUAUCAGUUAACAAAGAAACUUGAAGCGCUUACUUCUUAAAGAUCCACAGUCACUGAUCUGUGCCAAGAUUAUUUUGUAAUCUUCUGUAAAAUAUUUGGCGCAAAAGUAGACAAAAUCGAAUCGAACAAAUACUAAAAUAGGGAAAAGUGGGUGGGGGCAGCCGGAUUAGGACAACUUCUGAAGCUGCAAAUAUUCGUAUGGAAAGAGAAGUUCUGUAACCUGUCAAAGCGGACGACAGAAAUUGUACCAAAACUAAGCCAUUUUAACCAUUUUCAACAAUCAUUACUCCAUACGUACAACCUGAAUGUUACUCCAUGAUUGUUCUCCUAUAUAUGCAAGGCAUCAGAAAGAUGACAUUAGAGCAUGUAUAGGCAGUAAAAUAUAGGGAUGAUCAUGUGUGUCUGCAGUAAUAUCUGAUUCAUCUGAAAACCGUAUGAAAUUCCUUUAUAAGAAGGUUACAUAGAGUAAAAUAGAAAUAUUCUAGGGUCUCUUGACUAAAGGAUCUCCUUGUACACAAUAUUUUUUGCCAAAUUAUUUUCUUUAGAUUCUUCAUCUGAAAUUAGAAUUUUAAGUCCAUCUCUACUCGUGACUCUUGAUACCGCUACAUAGAGUUGGCCAUGUGUGAAUACCUUCUUUGGUAAAUAUAGCCCCACAUGUUUUAGUGACUGCCCUUGACUCUUAUUUAUCGUCAUUGCAAAACAAAGUGAUAUAGGGUACUGCCUCCUUUUCAACACAAACGGCCAUUUUGAGUCACUUGGUGACAUAAUAAUCCUUAGAAUAUAUACCUUGUUUCCAAUGUUUGUCCCUGUUAUUAUCUAAGCUUCUAUGAACCAUUUGCCUAGCUGUGUUAUAGUUAGUCUCGUACCAUUGCAUAAGCCCUCUGAAGGAGUCCUGGACUAAGGGGUCCUCGGGCGUUCGGCCUGUUAUUCAUUGGGCCGGACUGAUGGGCUGUAAAGAUAUGAAGGCCGAAGACUAUACCCGUGUCCGGAUUGGACUUUCCUUGGCAUGGAAAGCAAGCUAGGCGACCAACUAUGAAUAUUCCUUCUUAUGUAACCGACUCCAUGUAACCCUAGAUCUCUCCGGUGUCUAUAUAAACCGGAGAGUGUAGUCCGGAUAGGCAGAUACUCAUGACCAUAGUCAUAUAGGCUAGACUUCUAGGGUUUAGCCAUUACGAUCUCGUGGUAGAUCAACUCUUGUAAUACUCAUAAUCAUCAAAAUCAAUCAAGCAGGAAGUAGGGUAUUACCUCCAUAGGGAGGGCCCGAACCUGGGUAAACGUCGUGUCCCCCGUCUCCUGUUACCAUCAAUCCUAGACGCACAGUUUGGGACCCCCUACCCGAGAUCCGCCGGUUUUGACACCGACAUUGGUGCUUUCAUUGAGAGUUCCACUGUGCCGUCGACGAAAGGUUCGAUGGCCCCUUCAAUCGUCAGUAAUGACGUUGUCCAGGGAGAAACCUUCCUCCCCAGAUAGAUCUUCGUAUUCGGCGGCUUCAUACUGCGGGCCAACUCGCUCGGCCAUCUGGAGCAGAUCGAUAGCUACGCCCCUGGCCAUCAGGUCAGAUUCGGAAUCUUGAACUACGUCGCGGACAUCCGUGGAGACUUGAUCUUCAACGGAUUUGAGACCGCGGCCACCGCUCCCUUUCGCCCCGAUGAGCAUAGCUUAAACCUGUCAUCGGGCCCCAUCCAGGAGAUAGCUCCUGCAACAGCUCCGGCCUUAGAUCUGGAGCAGAUCGAGUCAUCCGAAGAUGGGAAGCUCAACCCCGUCACGGAGGCUGCUGAUCCAGCGGCAUCGGAGCCGCACACAAAUUUUACUUCAUAUGAUAUCUGCAUCAACGGAGCCCCGGACUCGUCUCCGGUGACAAGUUCCGAACCCUGCGAGUCCACGGAUACCGAACUCAAUCGGUUAUCGAUCUUCAAGUUCAGCGCCGCAGACGUCUUCCAACACUCGCCCAUGGGCGACGUACUAAACUCACUAAAAAACCUAUCCCUGGCAGGUGACUCGCCGCCGAACUAUGUUCGGUUCGAACUUGCGGCGGAUGAUGGAGAACUUUUCUUCCCACCCGCCACCCACUUCAUAGCCACUGUUGAUGACUUAACCGACGUGUUUGACUAUGGCUUCGAAGACAUCGACGGUAUGGACGACGAUGCCGACAAGGAGCAAGGCCAAGACCCGCCAUUCACUGGACGUUGGACGGCCACCUCUUCGUACGACAUGUACAUGGUUGAUACACCUAAAGGAUCCGGCGAUGGCAAAGAAGAGCCAGAUGCGAAUAAACCCUCUAAGACGCAGUCCAAGCGCCGGCGGCCCAAAUGCCGUUCUAAGGCUCGUCGCUCAAAAGAUGGCAACACUGGCACCGGAGAAAAUAGUACUCCGGGCGACGCCGAAAACAAUGAAGACCCUGUCGGAGUUGCAUCCGAACAGGAGGAACAUGACAACAGGCAAGAUAACCCUGAUGAACAGGCCAUAGAAGAUGACUCGGAGGACGAUAGUUACCGUCCGCCCUCCGAGGAGGAGACAAGCCUCGGCAACGAGGACUUCAUCGUGCCUGAAGAUCCUCUCGAGCAGGAGCGCUUUAAGCUUCAGCUCAUAGCCACUGCAAGGAGCCUGAAAAAGAAACAGCAGCAGCUUCAAGCUGAACAAGAUCUGCUCGUCGACAGAUGGAGUGAUGUCCUGACAGCCGAAGAAUACGGCCUCAAGCGCCCAGUCAAGAGCUACCCGAAACGCUGACUGCUACCUCAAUUCGAUGAGGAGGCACCGGAGCACAUAUCUCCCUCGCGUAAUGCAGAACGAUCACCACGUGGUCGAGACAGGGCGGCCGACCGGCCACCCCACGGUCGGGAUAAAGCGGCAACUUAGGCCAAACAGCAACCUGCCCCACCGCCCCGUAAAAAUAAAGACGGAAGUGUUCGGGGUCACACGUACGACCUCCGGCAGACCCUGGACAGUAGAGCAGGACAUACAAGAUCGAUCUACGGAUCCCGAGGACGUGCCUCGAGGCACGACGACGGCUACCUAUUCGGACGUGACAAACCCAACCACGCCCGGGCCGAAUGCCGCAGACGGACUCCAUCAGAGCUACGCCGCGAUGCGGCCCGAUAUAGAGGCGCCGCACACCCUCUCUGCUUCACAGAUGAAGUACUGGAUCACGAAUUCCCCGAAGGGUUCAAGCCCGUCAAUAUCGAAUCAUACGACGGCACAACCGAUCCUGCAGUAUGGAUCGAGGAUUUUAUUCUCCAUAUCCAUAUGGCUCGAGGAGAUGACCUCCACGCCAUUAAAUACCUCCCAUUAAAGCUCAAAGGACCAGCUCAACGGUGGCUAAAUAGUCUACCUGAGAACUCCAUCGGCAGCUGGGAGGACUUGGAAGAGGCUUUCCUUGAUAACUUCCAAGGAACUUAUGUCCGGCCAACAGAUGCCGAUGACUUAAGCCACAUAGUUCAACAACCCGGAGAAUCAGCCAGAAAAUUCUGGACUAGGUUCCUAACCAAAAAGAACCAGAUCGUCGACUGUCCGGAUGCCAAAGCCCUAGCGGCCUUUAAGCAUAGCAUCGAGGAUGAAUGGCUCGCCUGCCACCUCGGCCAGGAAAAGCCGAGGUCCAUGGCAGCCCUCACGGCACUUAUGACCCGCUUCUGCGCGGGAGAGGAUAGUUGGCUGGCUCGCAGUACAAACAAAGCCAACGAAACAGGCCCCUCCGAGGCCAAAAACAGCACCGGCAAGCUCUGGCGCAACAGACACAAACGCCGAAGCAAUGAGUGCAGCUAUUUCAGAUGCAGUUGGUAGGUUGUAUUGUCUUCCAUCACUGGAUCUUGUACCAAUUAAUCCAACCUAACAUUUUUUAGAUCCCACUCUUGGUAUCUAUCCCUUGCCAUACGGAAUGAUUUCACUAACUCAUUGUGAUCAUCAAGCAUCGACAAUAAUCCAGACACAAUGCCUUCAUCAAGUUGUGUUUUCCUUUCCUUUGAGGUUGAAGCAUGCAUUCUAUUUCUGACAUCGUUUUCUGUAUCAUAAAUGUACAAUUGAGCAAACUUUGGCCUGAGAGCAUUAUCUCCAUUAUCUUUAGGUAGCAAUGUGCCAAUUUGAUGAUAGUUUUGGCCAUUCAAGCGAAAAACAUAUGGUGCUCCCCCUUUUUUGUUUAUCUCGUAAUCGACCUGACCACCCAUAGAAGUAAAUGCAAACAUUGAAUUAUAGUUCCUGAUAUUGUCUCUGUAAUUUGACGAUUCCCCCUUUUCAUUAGAUGUUAGUAGCUGCUGAAGGUAUGGUGGAGGUUUUUUCAAUGGUGGCAGUUUGACUUUGCCUUCCUUUCAAAAAAGUCCGAAUGUUGGUCUUGAUUUGUUUGUUUUAUGCUUGGCUCUCUCUUGAUGCCACAUUAUAGCAUUGCAGAAUGGGCAUACGCAUGUUGGUUUUCCAAAUUUUGGAACCUCACUUGGAGAGCUAUGAGAUUUACCUCCUUUUUUCAUCGCUUGUAAUUUCUUUCUAUUUGCUCGAUUCAACUUGCUUAUCUCUUUUCUUCUAAUCAAAUCGCUAUCUGAUGAGCUUCUAGCAAAAUUUGAUGCUUCUAAAGCAUGUUCGCCAGCUGAUGUACUCAAAGCAAACUCAGUUUCACAAUUUUGUUUUCUUUGAACCAAGCUUGCAUGCUUGUUGCUUUGAUUUCCAUGGACCAUCUCUUUCCUCUUUCUUGGUUUUUAUUUAUUUGUACCUGGUGAAAUCAUGUAACAAAUAUAUUUGGUAGUUGUUAGCCCAUUAUAUCAGGCACGGGCUAGCGGCCAUGAUUAUGUCGUUAAAGGGUGCACCUUUCUUGCUCUUUGUUUACUGUAGAAUGAUCUUUGGGUAUUCCCUGAAAAUAAAAGGAGCUAAACUUCAUCUGCAUAGCACACUAAAAGUAAUUUGAAGAGAUAAUAAAUAUGUGAUUACCAUUUUAUUCUCCUGGCAAGCUACAAUGGUAGUGGAUGUAUAUACACAUGUGAAUAGCCUGUAAUAUAUUUAUUUCAUGAUCAGUUAUUUUUAUAAUACAUGUAUUGAGUUAUUUUCUUGUUAAUUAAUAACUAAUAAUAUAUAAUGCAAGCUAGUACCUUUCAUUCUGAUGGUGUAGGCUGUCUUCUUGGACAAGAAUAUCCGACUGGUUGCCCAUCAUGCUUAAUAACUUUGAACGCUUGUUAUUUUUUGUUUGGUUUGGAGGUUGACUUUGCUUUCUCCGAGCUUGUCUGCGUUCAUUUUUUCAUCAUUAUAAUGUAAUGUAUUUUCAUUUGUUAGUUAGAGUGUAGAUGUGCUAGAGGCAAUAAAUUGUGUCAUAACAUACCAGUUAUUGCCUUCCACUCUAAUUUGCUGAAAAUUUCAUUUGGAAAGUCAGGGUAAUAUAUUCAAGGGUGCAUUCAACAUUGUUAUAAGAAUAGGAUAGAAGUGUUGUAGUCAAGUUUGUACCUUGUUUUUGUUAGGUAAUUUUUCUUUUUUGCCCAAGAUGACCCUGCAAGUGGACCGUGCGCUGGCCUCAUGGUGGGCGCCAACUGUCGUGGAAUUAUCACGGCAGAUGUCCUCGUGCAAGGACUUAGUCGUGGAGCCAUCGCAGCUAGGAAGCUUAAAGGGGUUAAGUGGGACAACGGACACGAGGAUUAUACCGGUUCGGCCCCUUACAAUGAAGGUAAAAGCCUACGUCCAGUCGAGGUUGUAUUGAUUAGGGUUUCGACGACCAGGAGCUAAACCGCCCUGCCUGGUUAUCGAUUUGAUCUUACUUGUCCCUGAACCGCCGCCGGGUCGUCCCUUUAUAUAGAGAGGUUGACGCCCAGCGGCUCUCAGAGUCCCGGCCGGCUUAUAACAGUGUCCGGCUCGGACUCUUAACUAUUCUUGCCUUACACUACAAGUUUCACCAUAACAGUGGUUUAUCACUACGGGCCUUAAGCCAUCUCCGGGUCUUAAGCCCAUUACUGACCCGCCGUCCUCAAGCUUGGUACUGGGCUUCACGUGAUGAUCAUGAUGAGUAACCCGGCCCCUCCUGGGCGGGUUACUCUAAUGGUUAUAUCCUCAACACCUAGCCUUUUUCCCUUGGGAGUCGCGCAUCCCGAGGGUCAUCUUUAUUUAACCCCCCCCCCCCCGGGGCCAAUGCUUGUCUAAGUGUUGGUCCAAACUAGAGCACCGUGCGGGACCAUCCCUUGGCAACUUGGGUUACGUCGGUACCUGUACGCUUAGCUCAUCCGGUGUGUCCUGAGAACGAGAUACGUGCGACUCCUAUCGGGAUUGUCGACACAUCGGGCGGCUUUGCUGGACUUGUUUUACAAUUGUCAAAAUGUCUUGUAACCGGGAUUCCGAGACUGAUCGGGUCUUCCCGGGAGAAGGAAUAUCCUUCAUUGACCGUGAGAGCUUAUAAUGGGCUAAGUUGGGACACCCAUGCAUGGUAUUAUCUUUCGAAAGCCGUGCCCGCGGUUAUGUGGCAGAUGGGAAUUUGUUAAUAUCCGGUUGUAGAGAACUUGACACUUGACUUAAUUAAAACGCAUCAACCGCGUGUGUAGCCAUGAUGGUCUCUUCUCGGCGGAGUCCGGAAAGUGAACACGGUUUCUGGGUUAUGUUUGACGUAAGUAGGAGUUCAGGAUCACUUCUUGAUCAUUACUAGUUCACGACCGUUCCGUUGCUUCUCUUCUCGCUCUUAUUUGCGUAAGUUAGCCACCAUACAUUGCUUAGUCGCUGCUGCAGCCUCACCACUUAUCCUUUCCAUACCCUUUAAGCUUUGCUAGUCUUGAUACCCAUGGUAAUGGGAUUGCUGAGUCCUCGUGGCUCACAGAUUACUACACCAACAGUUGCAGGUUUAGGUUUUGCGAUGAUCAUGACGCGAGAGCGAUGUUACUUGUUUUGGAGUUCUUCUUCUGCUUCUUCUUCGAUCAGGGGAUAGGUUCCAGGUCGGCAGCCUGGGCUAGCAAGGUGGAUGUCGUUCGAGCUUCUGUUUGUGUUUUCAUCCGUAGUCGGAUGUUGAUCUUAUGUAU
This 8495-nucleotide long non-coding RNA is filed under the name Triticum aestivum (bread wheat). Its description in RNAcentral is "long non-coding RNA (TAES_LNC013385)". The record is from RNAcentral. Lineage: Eukaryota; Viridiplantae; Streptophyta; Magnoliopsida; Poales; Poaceae.